Molecule: transfer RNA, 73 nt
Filed under: Saccoglossus kowalevskii
Lineage: Eukaryota; Metazoa; Hemichordata; Enteropneusta; Harrimaniidae
Description: tRNA-Tyr
Rfam family: tRNA
About the family: Transfer RNA (tRNA) molecules are approximately 80 nucleotides in length. Their secondary structure includes four short double-helical elements and three loops (D, anti-codon, and T loops).
Source: RNAcentral
CCUUCGAUAGCUCAGUAGGUAGAGCGGAGGACUGUAGAUCCCUAGGUCGCUGGUUCGAAUUUGGCUCGAAGGA